GUAGAUAUUAGAAGAUCAGUGAUUAGCUUUGAAUAAUAGAGAUUGCUAUCUUCUUAACAUUCUAUAUGUGUACUUCACACUACUCUCAUAAUUAUAUCUACAACCAUCUCUUACAAUUCUAAUCACUCUAAACUUUAUUUGAGUGGUCUGUUGUUACACACAUCUAUAAUAAAGCAUGCAACAUUAGUUAAAACAUGCAAUAUUAGUUAAAACACACAAGAUGAUUUCAACACAUAUAAGAUUUUUUGAAAAUCAAUCUGAAUCCUCUAUCAUCUCUGAUGAUCACAAUGUGUGUUUGCAACAGUUGAAUGAUCAAAUCUGUGAAUGAGAGCAGCAAUUAGCUAUUCUACAUGCACAACAACAACUCAAUAAGUUGAAAGUACAGAUUUGUAAAGAUACUCUCAUUGAGUCUCAAUUAAUUCAGAAUAUCACCACAGAACUGUCACAAAAUUGAUCUGUGAACAAUAUAAAUGAUGAUAAUGAAACAUCACUGAGGUUAGAGAUUAAGAACUAUUAUCAAAGAAAAAAUAUAUUAGAAUUCAAGAACUAUAAAGAUUGCAUAUUGACUCUCUUUACAUAUCACUGCUGAUAUUAUUGAAAGAAAGAAUACAAGAUAAAUGAUACUAAACUCUAUUUUAAUAUUCAUAUUAAGCAGAAAUGAUUGAAUUUUGUAUCAUUGUAUGAGAGAUAUGAAGAAGCAACACUGUUGACUUUUAAUAAUAUACUAUCACAUCUAGAAAUACAAAUUAACAAUCCACAGAAUCAACAUUAAUUGAUAAGUUAAAAAUUUCAAAAUACAAAACAAUAAGAAUGACAAUUGAUACACAAUUUCUCUAAAUAUCUUGAAAACUGAGAGUACUAUUUAUCUCUAUAUAGUGAAGAACAAAGAAUGGAUAACUUGUAUAGUAAGAUAUUGAAGAUAUUACACACUGAAUUUGACUGUCAAAAUCAAGAGCCUCAGAACUAUAAAGAGUUGCUUUGAACUCUAUAGACUUUCAAGAAAAAUAUAUCAGAGCAACAGCAUGUUAUUUGCAAAAAAAGAUCUGCAAUAUUUGUAGAGAAUCAGCAUUGUUCUGAUAAAUCUAGCAACUGUUGAAACAAAAAAAAAUGAGAGAAACAAACAGAUUCAACUGAACAAAUCAAGAA
RNAcentral lists this small RNA (1146 nucleotides) under Histoplasma ohiense. RNAcentral describes it as "hypothetical lncRNA". The record is from RNAcentral. Lineage: Eukaryota; Fungi; Ascomycota; Eurotiomycetes; Onygenales; Ajellomycetaceae.